UAGGGAAUCUUCCGCAAUGGACGAAAGUCUGACGGAGCAACGCCGCGUGAGUGAUGAAGGCUUUCGGGUCGUAAAACUCUGUUGUUAGGGAAGAACAAGUACAAGAGUAACUGCUUGUACCUUGACGGUACCUAACCAGAAAGCCACGGCUAACUACGUGCCAGCAGCCGCGGUAAUACGUAGGUGGCAAGCGUUAUCCGGAAUUAUUGGGCGUAAAGCGCGCGCAGGCGGUUUCUUAAGUCUGAUGUGAAAGCCCACGGCUCAACCGUGGAGGGUCAUUGGAAACUGGGGGACUUGAGUGCAGAAGAGAAAAGCGGAAUUCCACGUGUAGCGGUGAAAUGCGUAGAGAUGUGGAGGAACACCAGUGGCGAAGGCGGCUUUUUGGUCUGUAACUGACGCUGAGGCGCGAAAGCGUGGGGAGCAAACA
RNAcentral lists this ribosomal RNA (427 nucleotides) under uncultured Bacillus sp. RNAcentral's name for it is "bacterial SSU rRNA". It matches the Rfam family "Bacterial small subunit ribosomal RNA", at positions 355 to 774 of the family's 1533-position model. The record is from RNAcentral. Lineage: Bacteria; Bacillati; Bacillota; Bacilli; Caryophanales; Bacillaceae.